Molecule: ribosomal RNA, 498 nt
Filed under: uncultured bacterium
Lineage: Bacteria
Description: partial 16S ribosomal RNA
Rfam family: Bacterial small subunit ribosomal RNA
Source: RNAcentral
AGCGAACGCUGGCGGCGUGCCUAACACAUGCAAGUCGAACGUGAAAAGGGAAACCUGAGUAAAGUGGCGUACGGGUGAGUAACGCGUAGGUAAUCUACCCCAGAAUCUGGAAUAACCUGCCGAAAGGCGGGCUAAUACUGGAUAGAGCGAGGGAACUCGUAAGAGAGUUUUUCGGGAAAGGGAGCCCGCAAGGGCCUUCGUUCUGGGAUGAGCCUGCGUCUCAUUAGCUAGUUGGUAAGGUAACGGCUUACCAAGGCGAUGAUGAGUAGCUGGUCUGAGAGGAUGAUCAGCCACACUGGAACUGAAACACGGUCCAGACUCCUACGGGAGGCAGCAGUGGGGAAUCUUGCGCAAUGGACGAAAGUCUGACGCAGCCACGCCGCGUGAGUGAAGAAGGCCUUCGGGUUGUAAAGCUCUGUCGGAUGGGACGAACAUCUUCAUAGUGAAUAGCUAUGAGGACUGACGGUACCAUCAAAGGAAGCACCGACUAACUCCGUG